Molecule: ribosomal RNA, 253 nt
Filed under: uncultured bacterium
Lineage: Bacteria
Description: partial 16S ribosomal RNA
Rfam family: Bacterial small subunit ribosomal RNA
Source: RNAcentral
UACGGAGGGUGCAAGCGUUAUCCGGAUUUACUGGGUUUAAAGGGUGUGUAGGCGGGCUUUUAAGUCAGUGGUGAAAUCUCCGGGCUCAACCUGGAAACUGCCAUUGAUACUAUUAGUCUUGAAUUCUGUUGAGGUAGGCGGAAUAAGUCAUGUAGCGGUGAAAUGCAUAGAUAUGACUUAGAACACCAAUUGCGAAGGCAGCUUGCUAAACAGAUAUUGACGCUGAGGCACGAAAGCGUGGGGAUCAAACAGG